AAAGACUCAAUUCCUGGGUUUUCGUGUCCUACGUUUGACUGUUCGUCUUAUAUGAUUUUUUUAAUUAGUAUUUUCAUUGUUGUUAAAUGAUAAAACAUAAAUAAUACUUUAUGUGUGACUUAUUUUUUUAAUUUUUUUUUCAUAAUUUUUUCAAAUAAAACGGACAGUCAAAUGUUGGACACAGAAACUCAGGAAUUGAGUUAUU
This 205-nucleotide microRNA precursor is filed under the name Oryza nivara. RNAcentral's name for it is "MIR812 microRNA precursor family". It matches the Rfam family "MIR812 microRNA precursor family". The record is from Rfam by way of RNAcentral. Lineage: Eukaryota; Viridiplantae; Streptophyta; Magnoliopsida; Poales; Poaceae.